Molecule: ribosomal RNA, 519 nt
Filed under: uncultured bacterium
Lineage: Bacteria
Description: bacterial SSU rRNA
Rfam family: Bacterial small subunit ribosomal RNA
Source: RNAcentral
AAUAGAUACCCCGGUAGUCCUGGCCCUAAACGAUGAAUGCUUGGUGUGGCGGGUACCGAUCCCUGCCGUGCCGAAGCUAACGCAUUAAGCAUUCCGCCGUGGGGAGUACGGUCGCAAGGCUGAAACUCAAAAGGAAUUGACGGGGGGCCCGCACAAGCGGUGGAGCAUGUGGUUCAAUUCGACGCAACGCGAAGAACCUUACCCAGGCUUGAACAGCGAGUGACCAGCGAUGAAAGUCGCCUUCCGCAAGGACGCUCGUAGAGGUGCUGCAUGGCUGUCGUCAGCUCGUGUCGUGAGAUGUUGGGUUAAGUCCCGCAACGAGCGCAACCCUUGUCUGCUGUUGCCAUCAGGUUACGCUGGGCACUCUGCAGAGACUGCCGGUGAUAAACCGGGAGGAAGGUGGGGAUGACGUCAAGUCAGCAUGGCCUUUAUGUCUGGGGCUACACACGUGCUACUAAGUGGGCCGGUACAAACCGUCGCGAUCGCGCAAGGUGGAGCUAAUCGGANAACGCCGGUCUC